AUGAGUGAUAGCAAACUCUUUAUGGAUAUGCUCAUGAAUUCGUUGUCAUCUUCAUCUAACAUGGAAGAACUCAUUCUUGUAGCAUGCAGAGACCACGAGAAAGAUGAAUAUGUGAAUGCUCGAUGCCAUGGCGGCUCCAAGCCUAGACAUCCGACAACCAACAUGCUCCAGCAACCACCGCCCUGUGAUGCUACCCUACACAGCAUCACAACGCCGACCUCUCCGCCUCCAAUGCCAACAUCGGUUGCUCAAGCUUACCGCGGCCCACGCUGCGAUGCUAUCAACCACGCAUGUGUCACUAUGCAUGUCGCAACCACCACUCUCUGGCUGAGCACAAGCAACCACCCUCCCUACUCACCACCUCCACCACCAUGGAGCGCCGCUGCCACUCACUCCGCACGAAAGCGUACCUCUGCCGGCUGGAUCCACAACAAAAGCUUGUGGCAGCGGCUGGAUCCAGCACGACGCACCCCUAGCUUCUAG
This 483-nucleotide ribosomal RNA is filed under the name Triticum aestivum (bread wheat). Its description in RNAcentral is "partial small subunit ribosomal RNA". The record is from RNAcentral. Lineage: Eukaryota; Viridiplantae; Streptophyta; Magnoliopsida; Poales; Poaceae.